AUUCCAGCUCCAAUAGCGUAUAUUAAAGUUGUUGCGGUUAAAAAGCUCGUAGUUGGAUUUCUGCUGAGGACGACCGGUCCGCCCUCUGGGUGAGUAUCUGGCUCGGCCUUGGCAUCUUCUUGGGGAACGUAACUGCACUUGACUGUGUGGUGCGGUAUCCAGGACUUUUACUUUGAGGAAAUUAGAGUGUUUCAAGCAGGCGCACGCCUUGAAUACAUUAGCAUGGAAUAAUAAGAUAGGACUUUGGUUCUAUUUUGUUGGUUGGAGGCCAAGGUAAUGAUUAAUAGGGAUAGUUGGGGGUAUUCAUAUUUAAUUGUCAGAGGUGAAAUUCUUGGAUUUAUGAAAGAUGAACUUAUGCGAAAGCAUUUACCAAGGAUGUUUUCAUCG
RNAcentral lists this ribosomal RNA (387 nucleotides) under Gymnodiniaceae sp. RNAcentral describes it as "partial small subunit ribosomal RNA". It matches the Rfam family "Eukaryotic small subunit ribosomal RNA", at positions 582 to 975 of the family's 1831-position model. The record is from RNAcentral. Lineage: Eukaryota; Dinophyceae; Gymnodiniales; Gymnodiniaceae.